Molecule: ribosomal RNA, 522 nt
Filed under: uncultured bacterium
Lineage: Bacteria
Description: bacterial SSU rRNA
Rfam family: Bacterial small subunit ribosomal RNA
Source: RNAcentral
AACGAACGUUGGCGGCGUGGAUUAGGCAUGCAAGUCGAACGAGAAAGUUCCCUUCGGGGGAUGAGUAAAGUGGCGAACGGGAGAGUAACGCGUGGGAAACCUACCCUUCAGCGGGGGACAACAGUUCUAACGAACUGCUAAUACCGCAUACGAUCCGGCGGCCGCAUGGCUGCCGGCUGAAAGAUGGCCUCUGCUUGCAAGCUGUCACUGAAGGAUGGUCCCGCGUCCCAUUAGCUAGUUGGCGGGGUAAUGGCCCACCAAGGCGACGAUGGGUAGCCGGCCUGAGAGGGUGUCCGGCCUCACUGGGACUGAGAUACGGCCCAGACUCCUACGGGAGGCAGCAGUCGAGAAGCUUCGGCAAUGGGCGAAAGCCUGACCGAGCGACGCCGCGUGAGCGAUGAAGGCCUUAGGGUCGUAAAGCUCUGUCAGGAGGGAAUAAAUACCCGCGGUUAAUACCCGCGGGGGUUGAAGGUACCUCCAGAGGAAGCGCCGGCUAACUACGUGCCAGCAGCCGCGGUAAAG